AGGCUGUCAAGGGGUAGAAGUCCUCACAUCUCUGGCAGGGGCAGCUGUACUCCACUGAAGAAAUCUAAGAGCUGUGCCUUGUGCCUUACUUGAAAUGCUGUGUAUAAAUCUGAAACAUCCCAUAUGCAUCUGACCCUUGUCAAACCAGCUGGAACACAUAAUAAAUUUUCAAGCUGGGGAAAAGAGUUCAGAAAUUUAAUAACCAAUACAGAUAUCAUAAAAACCGGACUGUUGGUUUGCGGUCAACUGUGCAGUUUUCUUUGAGCAAAGAGGAAGAGAAAUGUGUCUGUGUGUGAUGGAGAGUGGCAAUCAAUACUAAGAUGUGCACCCAGUUUGUUGGGAAAAGCAAUGGGAUAUACAGGAAUAACACGGAUUGAAGGAAGCACAGAAGAGCUGAAGGGAAGCCCCUAAGAUUCAGAGGCAAUCUGUCUUCUCCCUUGCCAGCAUGCUGCAGUGUGAUGGAUAUGCAUCUAAACCAUGGGAAAACCUGAAGCAAGGAAGCAACUCCUAUCACUGAUGAAGAUGCAUCAUCACUGGGCUUGGUUCAAAAACCAUUAAAGCUUCUGAGUGGUUCCAGUGGGAAUGAGAACAACCCUUUUUCAGAAGUAGAGACAUACAUUAAACCUUAAUUGAGAAGAGCCUCCACCAGGAUUUUCCCUCUGAGGGGAAGAAGCUUUUGUGGAUAUAAUUGUCUUGGAGGGAGUAAUUAUUCCAUGGACAUUUCCCAAGGUGUGAGUGAUGGCUUUUUUUUGCCAAUUUUUCUGAGAGUGAGAGAGCUGUAGCAGUCUUAUCAAGGACUGGUGGCACUACCUGGCAGGCAGGGGACAGGCCGCUGUUUCAACAUACAUACACAGCAGUAGGAACGAGUUUCUUAUUGUUUGGCUGAAUAUUUCUCUAUUAUUCUUUCCCCUGCAGCACAACACAGUUUGCAGCAAUUGAUUGACUUAGCUGGACAGUGAGAUAAAAAAUUACAAAUAAGAUUGGCUGGAAGCUGUUCUGCUGCUGCGAUUAGAUGUAAAACAGCCACAGCCAGAGCUGUGUUUUGCCCAGAGUCAGAUCAACAGACCACAGAUUCUGGUUUUCUUUCUUUCUUUCUUUCUUUUUUUAACAUUUUAAUUUUUACACAAUUUCAGGAGGGCUGUCGAUCAUCAUUCUGAAAAACCCUGCAAGUGAUGAUGGAGUUUGUCAUUGUGAGCUGCGGAAUCAUCGCUCCUUCCUCUUGGUUAGGAAGACAUUGCAGAGUGGUGAUAAGCUGAGGGCAGAGCUGGUGGAGAUUGGGAAGGAAAAACGGACAUAAAUCUGGGAUGGGAUAGGAGUGAAGAGGGAAGAUCUCUGAAUAGACAGCUGUCAUUGACACAUUACUCAGUGGUCCUGCUUGCUGUUUUAAGCAGCACUGGCAAAGUCCUAUGGACCACUCCCCACCUCUUGCUGGGAAAACUGCCAUUGAGAGAAAACUGCCUGAAUAAGGGAUGAGCGCAGGCUGAUCUCCUCAGCAUAAUCCAUAAGCCCUCCUGGAUGUGACAGAGAGAUGUGGAGGAGGCAAAAGACACUUGAAACAAGAUAGCUUAGAACCAUUUUGUAUCUAAUUUGCAGCAAAGUUUUCUUUCAUCAUUUUCCUCUUUUCCGCCCAAGUCUCCCUAUUUGUCUUAUCAAAUCUUGGCAGAGAUAGCUGUGCAGAAUAGGGAGCUGCUGUUGGGAAGCAGUUUUUCCAGCGAUGUAAUAAAGCAGUCUUACUGCAAUGAAUUUUAAAGGCUGUUUUUGCUGCCUCAAGAAAUGCUGAUUUAUGACUUGAAUGAGUCAUGCUUUUUGCAAUUAGCAGGACACUGUCUAGAACGUACAGAGCAUCUGAGGCAGGAAUAGACUUUGUCUCUUCUUUUUUUUCUUCCCCUGCUAUUUUUCUAUUUUACUUUCAUUAAACCACCAAGUGAAAUACUCUCCAGGAAUAAAGAAGCUUUUGCAGCUAGGCUAGGACAACUCUCAAUUUUGCUUUGGAGCUGAUAACAUUAUCAGUAUGGCUCUCCAGGAAAAGAUAAACUCAUGGGCAGGUUGGUAUAUUUGAUUGUAUCAUCUGUAGUAUCCCUAUGGGCAAAUCCAUAAACCUCAUCCUGGGACAUCAGGAAAUUCAGCUGCAAUACUCACUAAUAGAGCAAUUGCAAAAAUAGUGAUGUCAAAUGUUACAUUACCGCAGAUUUGAGUAGCUCCCAACAUUAUAUAGCAUUAUUAGAUACAGUGGCAGACAAUGAGAUUGGCUUGAAUGCCACACAAUUCAUUAAGCAAACUAGUUUUCAUCUCAAGGCAUUCAGAUCUGUCACAUUUCUUUUAAUGAAACCCUGAAAUUUUUUAAUAAAAAUGCUUAGCAAAAAUAGAAUUUCA
Tympanuchus pallidicinctus (lesser prairie-chicken) is the source of this 2373-nucleotide long non-coding RNA. RefSeq lists it as uncharacterized. Lineage: Eukaryota; Metazoa; Chordata; Aves; Galliformes; Phasianidae. The transcript is spliced from 4 exons. The record is from RefSeq and is a predicted model, not a curated record.